GAUGAAGAACGUAGCGAAAUGCGAUAAGUAAUGUGAAUUGCAGAAUUCAGUGAAUCAUCGAAUCUUUGAACGCACAUUGCGCCCGCUAGUAUUCUGGCGGGCAUGCCUGUCCGAGCGUCAUUACAACCCUCAAGCUCAGCUUGGUGUUGGGCCCCGCCGCCCCGGCGGGCCCUAAAGUCAGUGGCGGUGCCGUCCGGCUCCGAGCGUAGUAAUUCUUCUCGCUCUGGAGGUCCGGUCGUGUGCUCGCCAGCAACCCCCAAUUUUUUUCAGGUUGACCUCGGAUCAGGUAGGGAUACCCGCUGAACUUAAGCAUAUCAAUAAGCGGAGGA
Molecule: unclassified non-coding RNA, 329 nt
Filed under: soil metagenome
Description: partial contains 5.8S ribosomal RNA, internal transcribed spacer 2, and large subunit ribosomal RNA
Rfam family: 5.8S ribosomal RNA (bases 1-120)
Source: RNAcentral